RNAcentral lists this transfer RNA (72 nucleotides) under Lentinus tigrinus ALCF2SS1-6. Its description in RNAcentral is "tRNA-Asp". The record is from RNAcentral. Lineage: Eukaryota; Fungi; Basidiomycota; Agaricomycetes; Polyporales; Polyporaceae.
UCUCUGUUAGUGUGUCGGUUAGUACACGUGCCUGUCAUGCGCGAAAGCGCGGUUCGACUCCCCCACAGAGAG